Molecule: ribosomal RNA, 497 nt
Filed under: uncultured bacterium
Lineage: Bacteria
Description: partial 16S ribosomal RNA
Rfam family: Bacterial small subunit ribosomal RNA
Source: RNAcentral
GAUGAACGCUGGCGGCAUGCCUAACACAUGCAAGUCGAGCGAACGCACAAGAAGAUCGUUUUUCUGAUGUUAGCGGCGGACGGGUGAGUAACAAGUGGAUAACCUACCUAUAAGACUGGGAUAACUUCGGAAAACCAGAGCUACUACCGCAUCAUACUUUGAACCGCAUGGAUCAAAAGUGAAAGACGGUCUUGCUGUCACUUAUAGAUGGAUCCGUGCUGCAUUAGCUAGUUGGUAAGGUAACGGCUUACCAAGGCGACGAUGCGUAGCCGACCUGAGAGGGUGAUCGGCCACACUGGAACUGAGACACGGUCCAGACUCCUACGGGAGGCAGCAGUAGGGAAUCUUCGGCAAUGGGCGAAAGCCUGACGGAGCAAUGCCGCGUGAGUGAUGAAGGUCUUCGGAUCGUAAAGCUCUUUUAUUAGGAAAGAACAGAUGUAGAAGUAACUGUGCACAUUUUGACGGUACCUAAACAGAAAGCCACGGCUAACUUCGUG